UUGGCUUCUCGGCCUUUUGGCUAAGAUCAAGUGUAGUAUCUGUUCUUAUCAGAUGGCUUUCUGCAUGUUUUACCUCUCCUCAUGUUUCAUCUCAUAUAAGCUAAACAGAACUCCGUUUCUCCUUCUUUGUAUUUAUUUCCAAGGAGAUUUUUGAAAGAUGACACAGAACACUCAUAUCGUAGUAAACACGCC
Non-coding RNA from Oryctolagus cuniculus (rabbit), 192 nucleotides. The record is from RefSeq and is a predicted model, not a curated record. NCBI's taxonomy places the organism in Eukaryota, Metazoa, Chordata, Mammalia, Lagomorpha, Leporidae.